Long non-coding RNA from Lycium barbarum (goji berry), 1734 nucleotides. RefSeq lists it as uncharacterized. The transcript has 2 exons. Lineage: Eukaryota; Viridiplantae; Streptophyta; Magnoliopsida; Solanales; Solanaceae. The record is from RefSeq and is a predicted model, not a curated record.
CCAACUACACUAACCAAACAGCCCCCUAACCAAAUGCUCCUCUCCUCUCUCUUCAACCUAACCAUCACCGCCACCCCUUCCACCCCGUCACGUCCGUCACCUCACCACCACCACACCCAUAUCCCACAAAAUCCGCUACCUACACCCCUCUUCUCCUUUCUCACACUCCAUCUCUGAAGCUUGCAGGCUCCAUGUGCCAUUUCAGCGGAUUUCAUGGUAAGUCCCAUCCCUAUUUUCAUCAUCUCAUCUGUUGAAAAUAUCUCCCAAAUUUCCCCCCUUUCCCUUAUUUUUGAAUUUCGAAUUCUUGCUUCUUUGUGGAGCUGUUGAAACCCUCAGUUGUUACCUAUAAAUUGAAGCCCUUAGUGAGCUAUUUGGGGACAAGGUUCAAGUGUUGGAAAUCCCUCUUGAAUAACCCAAAAAAAAAAUCUCAUCUAUUUUCAUCAAGCUUUUCAUAUAAAAAAAAUAUUUUUUUUACUCUAAGUUGCUGGUCUCAAAAUUCUCUUUUAACUCUAAUUUUGUUUUGUCGAAUUCUUGGUGGUUCUCGGCUAAACAAGCUCUUCAAGACGAUUCGGAGACCCGACGACGAAAUUAGCCUCAGUUCGCUGUCACGGAGAAGAUUUCUUGAUCAUCAGUGUCCAAACCUGCUUCAGUGCUUGCUGUUUAUGUUAUCUUUGAAACAAUGUGACUCGACAAGCUCUCUUCAAGCAAGAAAUAAAUUCCCAGAUUUCAAAUUUAAAGAGUCAAUCUGCAUUUUUGCUGAAAGUUGCUGCCAUAAACAUGGUAUUUCAAGCAAAAUUUGAAGGUUAAGUAAUUGCUGUGUUUUAGGCCAUUUUCACCUCAUUUUGGGACUGAUUUACUGCCUGCCUUUUGGCCAACUGAUUGCUGUGUUUUUUAGGGUGAAAAUGCCACAUUCUUGAGACAUAUGGGGGGAAGGAUGGCUGCGGCAUUUUUGGUCUAUCCGCUGCUAAGUAGUGGCUGCUUUGAAAUGAAAUAUGUUGCAUUUGAAGUGUUCGGUUGCUGCAUUUUAAAAAUCCAUACUCGCUGUUAUAUCUGGCAGCUGCGAAGAUCAUCAUUUUACGCCUCCUAGACAUUGCUGCUGCACAUUGCUGAAAUUUAUUCUUUGUUAAGCUAAUAAGUGGUUUGCUGCGCCUAGUUGAUUUUAAAUUGUUUUCGGGCAGCUAAGCAGCUGCUACAUCACGACUACACAUGCUUACUGGAAAGUGUUGCCAUGUUCCAAAGGGAGCUAUACUACACUUUAUAGUUGUUGCUAUAUGUUUGACGAAAUGCUGUUUUUUUUUUUAAAUAUGACACGAGAAAGCCUUGUCUUACAUUUGAUUCUUUUAUCUAGCUUUCAUUAAUUAAAGUUAUAUAGACUUCUUUUUCCAUGUUAAGAAUUGCUUCUAAUCCUUUUCUUUCUUUUGUUUUAUUUGCAUAUGUACGUGGGAGUAUACUGGAGUUGUUUGACAACUCCAAAUCUGCCCAAGUCAUAGGAGCAGGCAGCCAGCAGAUUUAUUUGCUCGUGUCUAACAAUCUUUGCUCGCGUCUAGCCAUCCCCGAUCUCUCGCGUGUCUUAAGUGUCGACGCCUUCUUUCCUCUCUUCAAAAAUUUUAUGUCUUUGUAUUGAUGUGUCGUUUACAUAUUUUACUUACAUUUAGUGAGUUUUGUAUUUGCAGUAUUUAUUUCUUGUUUUGGGCGUGAAUUCUCAAGAAUGGUUAAGAGGAAUAGUUUGCUUAA